UGCAAGUCGAACGGAAAGGCCCCCACCAUUUUUGGUGGGGGUGCUCGAGUGGCGAACGGGUGAGUAACACGUGGGUGAUUGCCCUGCACUUCGGGAUAAGCUUGGGAAACUGGGUCUAAUACCGGAUAGGACCAUGGUUUAGUGUCUCAUGGUGGAAAGAUGUUUUUUGGUGCAGGAUGAGCUCGCGGCCUAUCAGCUUGUUGGUGGGGUAAUGGCCUACCAAGGCGUCGACGGGUAGCCGGCCUGAGAGGGUGGACGGCCACAUUGGGACUGAGAUACGGCCCAGACUCCUACGGGAGGCAGCAGUGGGGAAUAUUGCACAAUGGGCGCAAGCCUGAUGCAGCGACGCCGCGUGGGGGAUGACGGCCUUCGGGUUGUAAACUCCUUUCGUUAGGGACGAAGCCAUACUUUUUGGGUGUGGUGACGGUACCUUGUAAA
RNAcentral lists this ribosomal RNA (438 nucleotides) under Corynebacterium sp. oral taxon B00. Its description in RNAcentral is "bacterial SSU rRNA". It matches the Rfam family "Bacterial small subunit ribosomal RNA", at positions 56 to 486 of the family's 1533-position model. Lineage: Bacteria; Bacillati; Actinomycetota; Actinomycetes; Mycobacteriales; Corynebacteriaceae. The record is from RNAcentral.